AGCCGCGGUAAUUCCAGCUCCAAUAGCGUAUAUUAAAGUUGUUGCAGUUAAAAAGCUCGUAGUUGAAUUUCGGGAUUGACACAUCGGUCGUGCCUUAAGGGGUAUUAACUGGUGUAGUCAAUUUCUCACCUUCUGGAGAACCGCAAUGCCCUUAAUUGGGUGUCGCGGGGAACCAGGACCUUUACUUUGAAAAAAUUAGAGUGUUUAAAGCAGGCAUUUUGCUUGAAGACAUUAGCAUGGAAUAAUAAAAUAGGACGGAUGAUUCUAUUUUGUUGGUUUCUAGGACCACCGUAAUGAUUAAUAGGGAUAGUUGGGGGCAUUAGUAUUCAAUUGUCAGAGGUGAAAUUCUUGGAUUUAUUGAAGACUAACUACUGCGAAAGCAUUUGCCAAGGAUGUUUUCAUUAAUCAAGAACGAAAGUUAGGGGAUCGAAGACGAUCAGAUACCGUCGUAGUCUUAACCAUAAACUAUGCCGACUAGGAAUCAGACGAUGUUAAUUUUUUAAUGACUCGUUUGGCACCUUACG
This 524-nucleotide unclassified non-coding RNA is filed under the name uncultured Glomeromycotina. Its description in RNAcentral is "SSU rRNA". It matches the Rfam family "Eukaryotic small subunit ribosomal RNA", at positions 572 to 1092 of the family's 1831-position model. The record is from RNAcentral. Lineage: Eukaryota; Fungi; Glomeromycota.